This 69-nucleotide transfer RNA is filed under the name Drepane punctata (spotted sicklefish). Its description in RNAcentral is "tRNA-Met". The record is from RNAcentral. RNAcentral also lists the same sequence under 1 other name. Lineage: Eukaryota; Metazoa; Chordata; Actinopteri; Ephippiformes; Drepaneidae.
AGUAAGGUCAGCUAAUUAAGCUCCCGGGCCCAUACCCCGAACAUGUUGGUUAAAGUCCAGCCCUCACAA